AUGGCACACCAAGCACAUUCUUACCACAUAGUAGACCCAAGCCCAUGACCUAUUUUUGGGGCCGCCGCCGCCCUCCUCACCACUUCAGGCCUAACAAUGUGAUUCCACUACCAUGCCCCCCAACUCCUAAUCAUCGGCCUCAUCUCAACCCUCCUAGUAAUAUUCCAAUGAUGACGAGAUAUUGUACGAGAAAGCACCUUCCAAGGACACCACACCCCCCUCGUUCAAAAAGGACUACGAUAUGGCAUGGUCUUAUUCAUCACAUCAGAGGCCUUCUUCUUCCUAGGCUUUUUCUGGGCAUUCUUCCACUCAAGCCUAGCCCCCACCCCAGAACUAGGAGGACAAUGACCUCCUGUCGGAAUCAAGCCCCUAGACCCAAUAGACGUACCCCUUCUAAACACUGCCAUCCUCCUAGCCUCGGGUGUCACCGUUACAUGAGCCCACCACAGCAUCACAGAGGCAAACCGAAAGCAAGCAAUCCAAGCCCUCGCCCUAACCGUCCUCCUAGGAUUCUACUUCACCGCCCUCCAAGCUAUAGAAUACUACGAAGCCCCAUUCUCCAUUGCAGACGGCGUCUAUGGCUCAACCUUCUUUGUCGCCACAGGAUUCCACGGACUACAUGUAAUCAUCGGCUCCACAUUCCUCCUAGUAUGCCUCCUACGCCUCAUUAAAUACCACUUUACCUCAAACCACCAUUUCGGCUUCGAGGCAGCAGCAUGAUACUGACACUUCGUAGAUGUUGUAUGACUAUUCCUCUACAUCUCUAUCUACUGAUGAGGAUCCUGCUCUUCUAGUAUAUCCAUUACAAUCGACUUCCAAUCCUUAGAAUCUGGUUAAACCCCAGAGAAGAGCAAUGAAUAUAAUCCUAUUCAUAAUUAUCCUAUCUUUAACACUAAGCAUGGCCCUAACCACCCUAAACUUCUGACUCGCCCAAAUAAACCCAGACUCAGAAAAACUAUCCCCAUACGAAUGCGGAUUUGACCCACUAGGAUCCGCCCGCCUUCCCUUCUCUAUUCGAUUCUUCCUAGUGGCCAUCCUAUUCUUACUCUUCGACCUUGAAAUUGCCCUCCUACUCCCCCUGCCAUGAGCAACCCAACUCCAAUCCCCCACCACUACGCUAGCCUGAGCCUCAACCCUAAUCCUCCUCCUCACACUAGGCCUAAUCUACGAAUGAACCCAAGGGGGCCUAGAGUGAGCAGAGUAACAGAAAGCUAGUCUAACCAAGACAGUUGAUUUCGGCUCAACAAAUUAUAGUACACACCCUAUAGCUUUCUUCAUGUCUUACUUACACCUAAGCUUCUAUGCAGCCUUUACACUCAGCAGCCUUGGCCUAGCCUUUCACCGAACCCAUCUAAUUUCAGCCCUAUUAUGUUUAGAAAGCAUGAUACUAUCCAUGUAUGUCGCCCUAGCCAUAUGACCCAUUCAAAUACAAACACCAUCCCACACCAUUAUUCCCAUCCUCAUAUUAACAUUCUCCGCCUGCGAAGCAGGCACAGGCCUAGCACUACUAGUCGCCUCCACCCGGACCCACGGAUCCGACCACCUCCACAACUUCAACCUCCUACAAUGCUAAAAAUCAUCGUACCAACAGUCAUGCUCCUCCCCCUAACCUUCUUAUCCCCAUGCAAACACCUGUGAACUAACAUUACAACCCACAGCCUACUAAUCGCUACCAUCAGCCUCCAAUGACUAGUCCCAACAUACUACCCAAACAAAACCUCCACCUUAUGAUCCUCUAUCGAUCAAAUCUCCUCCCCCCUACUAGUUCUAUCGUGCUGACUCCUACCCCUCAUAAUCCUAGCGAGUCAAAAUCACCUGGAACAGGAACCCACCAUCCGCAAACGAAUCUUUGCCUCAACAAUAAUCCUAGCCCAACCAUUCAUCCUCCUCGCCUUCUCUGCCUCAGAACUCAUAUUAUUCUACAUCGCAUUCGAAGCCACCCUAAUCCCCACCCUGAUCCUCAUUACACGAUGAGGGAGCCAACCAGAGCGACUAAAUGCUGGCAUCUACCUCCUCUUCUACACACUCGCCAGCUCCCUCCCCCUACUCAUUGCCAUCAUUCACCUCCACAACCAAAUCGGCACCCUAUUCUUCCCCAUACUCAAACUAUCUCACCCCACAAUCCUAUCCUCCUGAUCCGGCCUAAUGUCAAGCCUGGCCCUGCUCAUAGCCUUCAUAGUCAAAGCCCCAUUAUAUGGGUUACACCUAUGACUGCCCAAAGCCCAUGUAGAAGCCCCAAUCGCAGGCUCAAUACUACUAGCAGCCCUACUCCUAAAACUAGGAGGCUACGGCAUUAUACGAAUCACCCUCCUGGUAAACCCCGCAACAAACAACCUACACUACCCCUUUAUCACCCUAGCCCUAUGAGGAGCGCUAAUAACCAGUGCCAUCUGCUUACGCCAAACAGACCUAAAAUCACUGAUCGCAUACUCCUCUGUCAGCCACAUAGGACUGGUUGUAGCCGCAACCAUGAUUCAAACUCAAUGGGCCUUCUCAGGAGCAAUAAUUCUAAUAAUCUCACAUGGCCUUACCUCCUCAAUGCUAUUCUGCCUAGCCAACACCAACUACGAACGUACUCACAGCCGAAUCCUCAUCCUAGCCCGAGGCCUCCAACCACUACUGCCUCUCAUGGCCACCUGAUGACUCCUAGCUAACCUAGCAAACAUAGCCCUCCCCCCAACCAUCAACCUAAUAGCUGAACUAACCAUUAUCAUCGCCCUCUUCAACUGAUCCAAUCUAACACUCAUCCUCACAGGGGCCGCAAUCCUACUAACCGCCUCAUACACCCUGUACAUACUUACAAUAACACAACGAGGCACACUACCAUCCCACAUCACAUCCAUUCAAAACUCCUCUACACGAGAACACCUCCUCAUAGCCCUCCACAUAAUUCCCAUACUCCUCCUAAUCCUAAAACCAGAACUAAUUUCAGGCACCCCCAUAUGCAAGUAUAGUUUCAACCCAAACAUUAGACUGUGAUUCUAAAAAUAGAAGUUAGACCCUUCUUACUUGCCGAGGGGAGGUCAAACCAACGAGAACUGCUAAUUCUUGUAUCUGAGACUAAGCCCUCAGUCCCCUUACUUCCAAAGGAUAACAGUAAUCCAAUGGUCUUAGGAACCACUCAUCUUGGUGCAAAUCCAAGUGGAAGUAAUGGACCUAUCAUUAGUCCUAAACACAUUUAUACUACUUACCCUAGCAACCUUAUCCACCCCUAUCAUCUUCCCUUUACUCUCAGACAACCUCAAAAACACCCCCACCAUCAUCACAAACACAGUUAAGACCGCCUUCAUAACCAGCCUAGUCCCCAUAACAAUCCACCUACACUCAGGGACAGAAAGCCUAACAUCCCUCUGAGAAUGAAAAUUCAUCAUAAACUUUAAAAUCCCAAUUAGCCUGAAGCUAGACCUAUACUCCCUUACAUUCUUCCCAAUCGCCCUAUUCGUCUCUUGAUCCAUCUUACAGUUCGCAACAUGAUACAUAGCAUCAGACCCUCACAUCACAAAAUUCUUCACCUACCUCCUACUCUUCCUAAUCGCAAUACUCAUUCUAAUCGUCGCUAAUAACCUAUUUGUCCUAUUCAUCGGCUGAGAAGGAGUAGGAAUCAUAUCCUUCCUACUAAUCAGCUGAUGACACGGACGAGCAGAAGCCAACACCGCCGCCCUCCAAGCCGUGCUGUUCAACCGAGUCGGGGACAUUGGCCUUAUCCUCUGCAUAGCAUGACUUGCAUCCACCAUAAACACCUGAGAAAUCCAACAAGCCACCAUACCCCACCAAACCCCAACCCUACCACUCCUAGGCCUCAUCCUAGCCGCAACAGGCAAAUCCGCCCAAUUCGGCCUACACCCAUGACUCCCAGCAGCCAUAGAAGGCCCAACCCCCGUAUCCGCCCUACUCCACUCCAGCACAAUAGUGGUCGCCGGAAUUUUCCUACUCAUCCGAACCCACCCACUACUCAGCAACAACCAAACUGCCCUGACCCUAUGCCUAUGCCUCGGCGCCCUAUCUACACUAUUUGCUGCCACAUGUGCCCUCACACAAAAUGACAUUAAAAAAAUCAUUGCCUUCUCCACUUCAAGUCAACUAGGCCUCAUAAUAGUUACAAUCGGACUAAACCUCCCCCAACUAGCCUUCCUCCACAUCUCAACCCACGCAUUCUUCAAAGCUAUACUAUUCCUAUGUUCCGGAUCCAUCAUCCACAGCCUAAAUGGCGAACAAGACAUUCGAAAAAUGGGAGGCCUCCAAAAACUACUACCCACAACCACCUCAUGUUUAACUAUCGGCAACCUGGCCCUAAUAGGAACACCUUUCCUAGCCGGCUUCUACUCAAAAGACCAAAUCAUUGAAUGCCUCAACACAUCCUACCUAAACUCCUGAGCCCUACUACUAACCCUCCUAGCUACAUCCUUCACCGCAGUAUACACAAUCCGCAUGACCAUACUGGUACAAGCUGGCUUUGUACGAAUCCCCCCUCUAGCCCCAAUCAACGAAAACAACCCAGCAGUAAUCUCCCCCAUCACCCGCCUAGCACUAGGAAGCAUCACAGCCGGGUUCAUCAUCACCUCCUUUAUCCUUCCAACAAAAACCCCGCCCAUAACCAUACCCUUACACAUCAAAAUCACAGCCCUAAUUGUCACAGCCCUAGGCGUCAUCCUAGCCCUAGAAAUCUCAAAAAUAACCCAAACCCUAAUCCUUACAAAACAAGGCCCCUUCUCAAACUUCUCCACAUCACUAGGAUACUUUAACCCCCUAAUCCACCGAUUCAACGUAACAACCAUCCUAGCCGGGAGCCAAAACAUUGCCUCCCACCUAAUCGACCUAUCCUGAUACAAAAUAUUAGGCCCAGAGGGCUUAGCCUCCCUACAAGCAACAGCAGCCAAAACUGCCACCACCUUCCAUUCCGGCCUAAUCAAAGCCUACCUAGGGUCCUUUGCACUCUCCAUCCUGAUCAUCCUCAUAUCCACAUACAGAACCCCCAAAUGGCCCUCAAUCUUCGUAAAAACCACCCACUACUCAAAACCAUCAACGAUGCCCUAAUCGACCUCCCCACACCAUCAAACAUUUCUACUUGAUGAAAUUUUGGAUCUCUAUUGGGCAUCUGCCUUGUCACACAAAUCGUCACCGGCCUGCUUCUAGCCACACACUACACAGCAGAUACUUCCCUAGCCUUCAACUCAGUCGCCCACAUGUGUCGAAAUGUCCAAUUCGGCUGAUUAAUCCGAAACCUACACGCAAACGGAGCCUCAUUCUUCUUCAUCUGCAUCUACCUCCACAUCGGCCGAGGAUUCUACUACGGCUCGUACCUAAACAAAGAAACCUGAAACAUCGGAGUUAUCCUCCUCCUAGCCCUUAUAGCAACCGCCUUCGUAGGCUACGUACUUCCCUGAGGACAAAUAUCAUUCUGAGGAGCUACAGUAAUUACCAACCUAUUCUCAGCAAUCCCCUAUAUUGGCCAAACACUAGUUGAAUGAGCUUGAGGCGGGUUCUCAGUUGACAAUCCCACGCUAACACGAUUCUUCGCCCUCCACUUCCUCCUCCCAUUCGUCAUCGCAGGCCUAACACUAGUUCACCUCACCUUCCUACACGAAACAGGAUCAAACAACCCAUUAGGAAUCCCUGCAGACUGCGAUAAAAUUCCCUUCCACCCAUACUACUCCACAAAAGACAUCCUAGGAUUCGCACUAAUACUUAUCCUCCUCGCCUCCAUAGCCCUAUUCUCCCCUAACAUACUAGGAGACCCAGAAAACUUCACCCCGGCCAAUCCCCUAGCUACACCCCCACACAUCAAACCCGAAUGAUACUUCCUAUUCGCAUAUGCCAUCCUACGAUCCAUCCCAAACAAACUAGGAGGAGUCCUAGCCCUAGCCGCCUCCGUCUUAGUCCUAUUUUUAGUCCCAUUACUCCACAAAUCCAAACAACGCUCAAUAACCUUUCGGCCCCUGUCCCAAAUUCUCUUCUGAACCCUAGUUGCAAACCUCCUAAUCCUCACUUGAGUAGGAAGCCAACCAGUCGAACAUCCAUUCAUCAUCAUCGGCCAACUAGCUUCAAUCUCCUACUUCACAAUCAUUCUAGUCCUAUUCCCACUCGCAGCUGUACUAGAAAAUAAAAUGCUAAAAUUAUAA
Catharus ustulatus (Swainson's thrush) is the source of this 6119-nucleotide RNA transcript. It is a transcript of the gene named cytochrome c oxidase subunit 3-like, with no coding region annotated. Lineage: Eukaryota; Metazoa; Chordata; Aves; Passeriformes; Turdidae. The transcript has a single exon. The record is from RefSeq and is a predicted model, not a curated record.